CAGUCGAGGGGUAGAGUUAGCUUGCUAACUUGAGACCGGCGCACGGGUGCGUAACGCGUAUGCAAUCUACCUUUCACAAAGGGAUAGCCCAGAGAAAUUUGGAUUAAUACCUUAUAGUAUAUAUGAAUGGCAUCAUUUAUAUAUUAAAGAUUUAUCGGUGAAAGAUGAGCAUGCGUCCCAUUAGCUAGUUGGUAAGGUAACGGCUUACCAAGGCAACGAUGGGUAGGGGUCCUGAGAGGGAGAUCCCCCACACUGGUACUGAGACACGGACCAGACUCCUACGGGAGGCAGCAGUGAGGAAUAUUGGACAAUGGGCGCAAGCCUGAUCCAGCCAUGCCGCGUGCAGGAUGACGGUCCUAUGGAUUGUAAACUGCUUUUAUACAGGAAGAAACACUUGCUCGUGAGCAAACUUGACGGUACUGUAAGAAUAAGGAUCGGCUAACUCCGUGCCAGCAGCCGCGGUAAUACGGAGGAUCCAAGCGUUAUCCGGAAUCAUUGGGUUUAAAGGGUCCGUAGGCGGUCAGGUAAGUCAGUGGUGAAAGCCCAUCGCUCAACGGUGGAACGGCCAUUGAUACUGUCUGACUUGAAUUAUUAGGAAGUAACUAGAAUAUGUAGUGUAGCGGUGAAAUGCUUAGAGAUUACAUGGAAUACCAAUUGCGAAGGCAGGUUACUACUAAUAUAUUGACGCUGAUGGACGAAAGCGUGGGUA
RNAcentral lists this ribosomal RNA (709 nucleotides) under uncultured bacterium. RNAcentral describes it as "bacterial SSU rRNA". It matches the Rfam family "Bacterial small subunit ribosomal RNA", at positions 59 to 767 of the family's 1533-position model. The record is from RNAcentral.